This 896-nucleotide ribosomal RNA is filed under the name uncultured bacterium. RNAcentral describes it as "bacterial SSU rRNA". It matches the Rfam family "Bacterial small subunit ribosomal RNA", at positions 601 to 1505 of the family's 1533-position model. The record is from RNAcentral.
ACGGGGCUCAACCUCCGCCCGCCGUUGAAACUGCCGGGCUCGAGUGGGCGAGAAGUAUGCGGAAUGCGUGGUGUAGCGGUGAAAUGCAUAGAUAUCACGCAGAACCCCGAUUGCGAAGGCAGCAUACCGGCGCCCUACUGACGCUGAGGCACGAAAGUGCGGGGAUCAAACAGGAUUAGAUACCCUGGUAGUCCGCACAGUAAACGAUGAAUGCUAGCUGUCCGGGGGGAUUGACCCCUGGGUGGCACAGCGAAAGCGUUAAGCAUUCCACCUGGGGAGUACGCCGGCAACGGUGAAACUCAAAGGAAUUGACGGGGGCCCGCACAAGCGGAGGAACAUGUGGUUUAAUUCGAUGAUACGCGAGGAACCUUACCCGGGCUCAAACGCCGAAGGAACAUUCCCCGAAAGGGGAAUGGCCAGCAAUGGUCUUCGGCGAGGUGCUGCAUGGUUGUCGUCAGCUCGUGCCGUGAGGUGUCGGCUUAAGUGCCAUAACGAGCGCAACCCCCACCGACAGUUGCUAACUGGUCAAGCAGAGGACUCUGUCGGGACUGCCGGCGCAAGCUGCGAGGAAGGCGGGGAUGACGUCAAAUCAGCACGGCCCUUACGUCCGGGGCGACACACGUGUUACAAUGGCAGGUACAGAGAGAAGCAAUGCGGCGACGCAAAGCGGAACUUGAAAGCCUGUCUCAGUUCGGAUUGGAGUCUGCAACUCGACUCCAUGAAGCUGGAUUCGCUAGUAAUCGCGCAUCAGCCAUGGCGCGGUGAAUACGUUCCCGGGCCUUGUACACACCGCCCGUCAAGCCAUGGAAGCCGGGAGUGCCUGAAGUGAGCAACCGCAAGGAGCGCCCUAAGGUAAAACUGGUGACUGGGGCUAAGUCGUAACAAGGUAACCGUAA